GGCGAACGGGUGAGGAACACGUGAGAAAUUUGCCCCGAACUUUGGGAUAACAGUUGGAAACGACUGCUAAUACCGAAUGCCGUUACAUGGUGGCAUCACUUUGUAACGAAAGAAUUUCGGUUCGGGAGAAUCUCGCGGCCUAUCAGCUUGUUGGUGAGGUAAUGGCUCACCAAGGCUACGACGGGUAGCUGGUCUGAGAGGAUGAUCAGCCACACUGGGACUGAGACACGGCCCAGACUCCUACGGGAGGCAGCAGUGGGGAAUCUUGUGCAAUGGACGAAAGUCUGACACAGCCACGCCGCGUGCGGGAAGAAGGCCUUCGGGUUGUAAACCGCUUUCAGCAGGAACGAAAAUGACGGUACCUGCAGAAGAAGGAGCGGCCAACUACGUGCCAGCAGCCGCGGUGACACGUAGGCUCCAAGCGUUGUCCGGAUUUAUUGGGCGUAAAGAGCUCGUAGGCGGUUCAGCAAGUCGGGUGUGAAAACUCUGGGCUCAACCCAGAGCCUGCACCCGAAACUGCUGUGACUAGAGUUCGGUAGGGGAGUGGGGAAUUCCUAGUGUAGCGGUGAAAUGCGCAGAUAUUAGGAGGAACACCGAUGGCGAAGGCACCACUCUGGG
Molecule: ribosomal RNA, 618 nt
Filed under: uncultured bacterium
Lineage: Bacteria
Description: bacterial SSU rRNA
Rfam family: Bacterial small subunit ribosomal RNA
Source: RNAcentral